UUCGAGGCACAUACGUUUCUUGAUUUGUCUUUUUUUUUGUGUUUUCUCUCGUGACUGUUGCUUCGUGCCUUUAGGCGGCUACUGGUGGACUCGCUAUGUAUGGAUGCGGGUGUGGUAUAUCAUACGUACAUUAGAACGAACGAACGAUCGAACGAACAAUGAAUGUACGAACAUGCUCAUGCUAAUACAGAUUGGCCAUGCUUGCGAAUAACGUUGAAUGCAUGCCGGACGUUCCGUGAGCUUCAAUCGAUCCACGCUAUGUAAUUAUUCGGUGUCGUUUAACUUUCAAGGUGGUAUACCUGUUAUUAUUAUUUCUAUUCCGUUCGCAUUUUUGUUUUCUUUUGUGUUAAGACGCAAGAAUUUGCGAUAGCAAAUUCGUGGGAUGUAUCGAGGAUCUACAAAGGCAAGUGUAUUUUAUCGAUCAUCAGAAUGUGCGGGCUUUCCGCAUGUUCUUCUUUCUACCGGGUUCUCGGAAUUCACGAGGUUCACAAUUGAUUCGUUUGUUUUGGACGAUGAGAUGCAGCAUGCAGACGGCGCGGCGAGCAUUCUUUUUCUCUUUUUGUCUUGAUCUUGCGGCGACGUAGCCGCACGAGCGAACACGUACGUAGAAAGAGAACUAUUUACCGUGCGCAUGCAAGGAAAAAUCGGACGCUUCGUUGCUCCCCAAGAUCGUGAGGAAGUACACGUAAAGCGGCCGCGACUUUAAACGAAGAGAGGGAUUCGAAGGAGAAAAGGAGGACGUCUCGAGGACGAGAGGAGGGAUAGGGAAGUCUAAAACGGAUAUUGAGUCGAGGCGGUUUCCGGCAGUUAGAGACAGUCACAGAAAAAAAUGGAGAAGUGCGCGCAUCGGGUGGCACAUCGGGAUCGAACGUCUGGAUGUGGACCAACCCGACGCUUUUCGAGAGAAAUGCGUACGAUGCACAAUAGAGGCUGUGGAGAAACGCGCGCUCGAUUGGCGCCUCCGUGAAAUAAGGAAGAAACCGGCGGUGGUCGCCAAUCCACUCGGUGGGACGCUAAGAUCUCGAGAUCGGAACCGAGAUCGAGCUGUAGACACCGAGUAGCUGCGAUUCGGACUCGCGACCAGGCAAUUAGGAUUUGGGAAAAGCAUCAACAUCCUUUUGUCUUUCGUGUUGUACAUGCAUCGGAGUACGAUCCUGAUGAUCAGUGAUGGAGGCUGACGCUCUGACACCGUAAAAGUACUUGACGAGGGUUUCGUCACCCUCAGCGCUCGCUAUAUGUAAUGCAGUUUGUCCAUCACCCUGGAAGAAUAUUCGCAUUCAAAGGACGUUUCUUUAAAGUCGCCCCGUAGUCCACCAAUAUUCGCACCAUAUCGAUGUCCCGUCUCCUAGCCGCCAGAUGAAGGGCUGAGUCACCUGUAGUGGUAGUGGCACGGAGCUGAUCCGGUGCCUGUUGAGCCAACAAUUCCCUGCACAUCGAUUGAUUUCCAGCUUCCACCGCCAAGAGCAAAGUAUCGGGAGACAUUAGACGGCUGGUCAGAUCGAUUUUCGCGAGGAAAGAAAAACGAAUCCGCUAUACGAUUUCCAUAAAUAGUCACAUUCGUAUGUAGACGUAAAUAUCGACGUUGGGGAGCAGUUUCUCUUAGAAUCGCAUAAUCUCGCUCGUUUACGAGACAAAGAACGAAGGAACAUUAAGAGGCUGGUAAGUGUGCGUGCGAGAAAGAAGGGGAAAUAGAUGGAAAUGUGCCGAAGGGUGGUAGAAGAAGAAAAAGUAGAAGAAACGAGCUAGAGGAGAAUUAUGACAGCUGUUCGGUACCAGGCCGCGAUAGUCCUGGGCCAUCAUUCGUGUCACGCGAGAAACGUGAACGAGAAUUGGGAGCGAUGCGCGAUAGAAAUCGCGCAAAAACUGUUAAUUCGAUCAAGGAACGCCUGACACAAAGCUGCCACGUUUGAUGCUUACAAGAGGUAGUUAAAUUACUUAAGCGGUAAAAGAAUCGGAUUCUAAUGAUUUCUUCGACGCAUACUACUUACCCC
Long non-coding RNA from Bombus impatiens (common eastern bumble bee), 1991 nucleotides. RefSeq lists it as uncharacterized. The transcript is spliced from 5 exons. The record is from RefSeq and is a predicted model, not a curated record. NCBI's taxonomy places the organism in Eukaryota, Metazoa, Arthropoda, Insecta, Hymenoptera, Apidae.